Molecule: long non-coding RNA, 782 nt
Organism: Cebus imitator (Panamanian white-faced capuchin)
Lineage: Eukaryota; Metazoa; Chordata; Mammalia; Primates; Cebidae
Exons: 2
Source: RefSeq, a predicted model, not a curated record
CCGGAGCCCAGCGGGCCGAGCUGCCCCGGGGACUCGCUGAGAUAUACGCAUCCGCUGAGCGUGCUCAGCUCCGCAGACUCGUAGCCAGGGCGCCGUGCCCACCGCGGGCCAGCCGCUUCCGCGCGGAAACACCUCCUGCCCGAGGGGCUCCAACAUGGCAACGUCGGACCCACAAACUUUCGUACACACUGACACUCAGCUGCCACGCCUCCCACCUGCCCCCGCCGCCUGGCUGCGCUUCUGGACUUUCCGCCUGGAUCCCGGAGCCCCUUUCCUCCGGGCUCCUGAGUACGCGGCUCUUGCGCCCCCUCGCGGCCUGAUUUUCCCAACGCACGGAGUCCUGGACAGAUAAAGCAGCACCCCAUCCUCAAAAAAGCGGGGAGUUAGGAAAACUUCGUUUCAGCCGUUACCUAAUCCCCUUAGUCUUUUUCAGACCUUCGCAAAGCGCACUGCUCCUCUUUAGGCCUUACACACAAAAGGAGCUUUGACGGGAACGCCCUUGACUUCCCACUGCCAAACCUAUGCUCUUACCUGCAGCUGCUCUACCUUCCUGGCAGGGAAAGUGUAGGUUGUUUCUCCGGCUUCACGCUGAUCCCUCGCUUGAGCUCCCCUCCCGCUCCUGCCCCCUUAUGGCGCGUCUCGCAAUGUUCUGGGUAUUGGGGCAUCAUCCCUUUCCCCACCCCAACCUACCUCUAGAUCCCAUUCAUCCUAACUCCACAACUCAAAUGCAUGACCCUAUAUAUGAAUGAAGGAACAAAUGAAAAUGUGUGGUGUACCUAUGA